Molecule: long non-coding RNA, 1411 nt
Filed under: Coturnix japonica (Japanese quail)
Lineage: Eukaryota; Metazoa; Chordata; Aves; Galliformes; Phasianidae
Description: lncRNA (ENSCJPG00005015626.1)
Source: RNAcentral
GGGAACUAGAGAGUGAGAUACAAAGUAUUUUAAGGGAUGUGAGACCUUGUGAUCAGUAAAUAUUUGUGUACUAAGAUUUCACAUAGAUUUAUAGGGAAGGCUCUCACUUAGGUUGUAGCUGGACUGAAGAUGCAGAAGGAAAUAUUGAGAUAAAAGUGGCACACCACUGAGUUUCUUGGCUUGCUACCCUGGAGAAGAGCCUCAUUACCAGCCUUUUCUUGGGGCAUUCGGGUCAAGGUUGUUUCAAAUGAAGUCACAGGAGUCCCAAAGAGUGCACAGAUGCAGAUGCUAAAGAGGAGAUCUGAAGCACAGUGGAUAAAUCCAUCACAGUUCAAGCUGCGAAAAUGUUAACUCCAGGAAUAUUGUCUGCAGUUUUGGAAAGCCAAAGAUUUUCAGGCUAGAUAUGAAUCAUGUUUUCCCAUAUGCAUAGAACAAGCCACGGAGCAGUUUCUGCAUCAAGUCCAGAGCAACUAUUUGAACCCCAGCAACUUUUCAGAAAGUCAGCUGCAAAUUCAAUCUGCAAGUGACAGCAAGUCUACACCAUCCAUGCAUAAACUGACCUUGGCAUUGGAUUCUGAUAUGAAUUUCUUUAUCCUCAGCUCCAGAACAUAAGCUGUCCUGCUUCUUUAUUUUUUUUCCCACAGACUGUUAAACUAAGAAGAUAUUAGCUAAUGGAAAAUUUCUUAUUUUUUUUCUCCAUCAGUUUAAGUGUUGUCACCCUACCUCUAGUCCCUCCUCCCCCAGUAAUCUUGUUAUUAUAUGCAUAUCUAAUCCAUUAAUUCAUUUCAUUUAUAAGAAAAGAUAAAAACACAAAAAGAUUAAAAUGAUGUUGUCUGCCGCUCCCAUCCCAACACAUGCACAGUCCAAGUUCUUAUACCAAAUCUUACUUCUCUGUUCAUAGAAACAUAUAAUAGAAUCAAAGAAUCAUAGAAUCAUAGAAUUGUUAGAGAGGGAAAAGACCUCUGAGACCAUCAAGCCCAACCAUCAAUCCAUCACCACCAUGCCCACUAAAGCACAUCCCUAUAUAGAAUCGUAGAAUCAUAGAAUAGUAACAGUUCUGGAUCACAACAGUUUUCACUGUAUUUUGCAGCUCUUACUGCCAACUUGCUAUCAGAGAAUACUCUCAUAACUGCAUAUGAGGUGACUUCUAGCUGUGCUCCAUGAUCUGAUUCUUACUAUGUAAGCCACCGAUGCAGUCGUGUCUUGUGAGAUUACUGCAAGAUAAGACAAAGGCCAUCAAAGCAGAAUGUGUUAUUAAUUAGUAAUAAGAUAACUACAGUGAAUUAAAAUGGGCUGGAAGAAGUCUUUCAUUCUACAUUGAACCCUUCUUUUGAAAUAUAGGAUGGUUUCCUUACAGGGAAAACAAUAAGAAAAAAAUAAAUCAAAAUAAACAUAUGUUAAUUAUACUCCU